This 77-nucleotide transfer RNA is filed under the name Bacillota bacterium. RNAcentral's name for it is "tRNA-Thr". It matches the Rfam family "tRNA". Rfam says of the family: Transfer RNA (tRNA) molecules are approximately 80 nucleotides in length. Their secondary structure includes four short double-helical elements and three loops (D, anti-codon, and T loops). Lineage: Bacteria; Bacillati; Bacillota. The record is from RNAcentral.
GCCGAAAUAGCUCAACCCGGUAGAGCAACUGAAUCGUAAUCAGUAGGUUGUAGGUUCGAUUCCCGCUUUCGGCACCA